Molecule: ribosomal RNA, 277 nt
Filed under: Proteus vulgaris
Lineage: Bacteria; Pseudomonadati; Pseudomonadota; Gammaproteobacteria; Enterobacterales; Morganellaceae
Description: partial 16S ribosomal RNA
Rfam family: Bacterial small subunit ribosomal RNA
Source: RNAcentral
UAAUUGAAGAGUUUGAUCAUGGCUCAGAUUGAACGCUGGCGGCAGGCCUAACACAUGCAAGUCGAGCGGUAACAGGAGAAAGCUUGCUUUCUUGCUGACGAGCGGCGGACGGGUGAGUAAUGUAUGGGGAUCUGCCCGAUAGAGGGGGAUAACUACUGGAAACGGUGGCUAAUACCGCAUGACGUCUACGGACCAAAGCAGGGGCUCUUCGGACCUUGCGCUAUCGGAUGAACCCAUAUGGGAUUAGCUAGUAGGUGAGGUAAUGGCUCACCUAGGC